GGCAAUUAAACAUAGUCUCUAAGAUUAUUAGGUGCAAGGACUCGCACCUUUACAAGCACCUGGAGAAACUUCAGGCCGAGGAUUGCUUUUUCGUUUACCGGAUGGUUGUGGUGCUAUUCAGAAGGGAAUUGACAUUUGAACAGACGCUAUGUCUGUGGGAAGUGAUAUGGGCUGACCAGGCAGCCAUAAGGGCUGGAAUAGGGAAAUCUGCAUGGAGCCGGAUAAGGCAACGAGCUCCACCAACAGAUGAUUUACUGCUUUAUGCGAUCGCUGCUUCAGUACUGCAGAGAAGAAAACUGAUCAUAGAGAAGUAUAAUAGCAUGGAUGAAAUUCUGAGGGAAUGUAAUAGCAUGGCUGGGCACCUUGAUGUGUGGAAGCUUCUCGAUGGUGCACACGAUUUGGUGGUAACCUUACACGAUAAGAUAGAGACGUCCUUCCAGUAAGUGACGGGUUUAUUUCCAUCUUCAUUUCCAUUCCAGC
This 480-nucleotide unclassified non-coding RNA is filed under the name Hevea brasiliensis (rubber tree). Lineage: Eukaryota; Viridiplantae; Streptophyta; Magnoliopsida; Malpighiales; Euphorbiaceae. The record is from RNAcentral.